CGGACGGGUGAGUAAUGUCUGGGAAACUGCCUGAUGGAGGGGGAUAAUACUGGAAACGGUAGCUAAUACCGCAUAACGUCGCAAGGCCAAAGAGGGGGACCUUCGGGCCUCUUGCCAUCGGAUGUGCCCAGAUGGGAUUAGCUAGUAGGUGGGGUAACGGCUCACCUAGGCGACGAUCCCUAGCUGGUCUGAGAGGAUGACCAGCCACACUGGAACUGAGACACGGUCCAG
This 231-nucleotide ribosomal RNA is filed under the name uncultured bacterium. RNAcentral describes it as "partial 16S ribosomal RNA". It matches the Rfam family "Bacterial small subunit ribosomal RNA", at positions 99 to 334 of the family's 1533-position model. The record is from RNAcentral.